Molecule: ribosomal RNA, 117 nt
Filed under: Sinocyclocheilus rhinocerous
Lineage: Eukaryota; Metazoa; Chordata; Actinopteri; Cypriniformes; Cyprinidae
Source: RNAcentral
UUAAGCAGCCAUACCACCCUGUAGCCCAAGACUGGUUGCCCACUGAAGCUAAGCAGGGUUGAGCUUGGUCAGUACCUGAAUGGGAGACCUCCUGGGAAAACUAGGUUGCUGUUGGAA